This 72-nucleotide transfer RNA is filed under the name Rattus norvegicus (Norway rat). It matches the Rfam family "tRNA". From Rfam's summary of the family: Transfer RNA (tRNA) molecules are approximately 80 nucleotides in length. Their secondary structure includes four short double-helical elements and three loops (D, anti-codon, and T loops). Further hydrogen bonds mediate the characteristic L-shaped molecular structure. tRNAs have two regions of fundamental functional importance: the anti-codon, which is responsible for specific mRNA codon recognition, and the 3' end, to which the tRNAs corresponding amino acid is attached (by aminoacyl-tRNA synthetases). tRNAs cope with the degeneracy of the genetic code in two manners: having more than one tRNA (with a specific anti-codon) for a particular amino acid; and 'wobble' base-pairing, i.e. permitting non-standard base-pairing at the 3rd anti-codon position. Lineage: Eukaryota; Metazoa; Chordata; Mammalia; Rodentia; Muridae. The record is from Rfam by way of RNAcentral.
GUGGAUGUAGUUCAGUGGCAAGAACAUUUGUCUAGAAUAUAUAAGAUUCUGAGUUCAAUCCCCUGUACCACG